Molecule: long non-coding RNA, 532 nt
Filed under: Salmo salar (Atlantic salmon)
Lineage: Eukaryota; Metazoa; Chordata; Actinopteri; Salmoniformes; Salmonidae
Description: lncRNA (ENSSSAG00000104254.1)
Source: RNAcentral
GUAGGCGGUAGGCGGUAGACGGUAGGCGGUAGCCGGAAGGCGGUAGGCUGUAGACGGAAGGCGGUAGGCGGUAGGCUGUAGCCGGUAGACGGUAGACGGUAGGCGGUAGGCGGUAGACGGUAGAGGGUAGGCGGUAGACGGUAGCCGGUAGACGGUAGCCGGUAGGCGGUAGACGGUAGACGGUAGACGGUAGGCGGUAGGCGGUAGACGGUAGACGGUAGACGGUAGGCGGUAGGCGGUAGACGGUAGGCGGUAGAUGGAAGCUGUUUCCAUCUAGACCACAUGCUGAUUCUAAGGACCUUUCCUAAGUGGACUUUAUUUAGUGAGAGUUUGAUGCUGUUUGUCCUCCAAGAUAAAUCUAACCCCUGCCAAGGAGCUGUUCUGUUCUGCCUCCAGCUGCUUUAUAGCAUAGUGCUAUACACACAGACACAGACACACACACACACACAGACACAGACACACACACACACACACACACACACACACACACACACACCUCCACCAACACACACACACAGACACACACACACAC